Molecule: ribosomal RNA, 252 nt
Filed under: uncultured bacterium
Lineage: Bacteria
Description: partial 16S ribosomal RNA
Rfam family: Bacterial small subunit ribosomal RNA
Source: RNAcentral
UACGUAGGGGGCAAGCGUUGUCCGGAAUUAUUGGGCGUAAAGCGCGCGCAGGCGGCCUUGUAAGUCUGUUGUUUAAACUCGGGGCUCAACCCCGAGUCGCAAGGGAAACUGCAAAGCUUGAGUACAGAAGAGGAAAGUGGAAUUCCACGUGUAGCGGUGAAAUGCGUAGAGAUGUGGAGGAACACCAGUGGCGAAGGCGACUUUCUGGGCUGUAACUGACGCUGAGGCGCGAAAGCGUGGGGAGCAAACAGG